RNAcentral lists this long non-coding RNA (2231 nucleotides) under Chlamydomonas reinhardtii. RNAcentral describes it as "long non-coding RNA (CREI_LNC000404)". The record is from RNAcentral. Lineage: Eukaryota; Viridiplantae; Chlorophyta; Chlorophyceae; Chlamydomonadales; Chlamydomonadaceae.
GUUCCCCAGGAAACUCUAUCUACGGCCGUGUCCUGCUGGCACCGUGGGGGCACACCAAGAUAGGGCAGCCUUCUACUAGGUAGGGGAGUCAUUACGUGGGUGGGUGAGCGUGGUGAGCGUGGGAGAGGGCGCUGGGGUUUGGCGUGGGGAUGGGCCACGUUUUGCCAUGGAGCCAUAGAGCCGGUGCUUUUUCAGCAACGAAGGCAACAGACCUCACCCCGCACGCUGUAACAGGGGCACAUUCCGUGCGGCGGAAUAUUUUGCUGCCCUAUAGCACCCAAACGAUCGUUACGAUCGCUGUUACCUAGGUCGUAGAUCGUUACCCCUCCGGCAUCGUUACGAUCUCGCUACGAUCUGCUUACCAUCUUAACCAGCCAUGGUAACAGCCUGCUCACGGUCUACGAGGCGCACAUGUAACCAUCACUUUGACGCCCGUUACAUGGCAGCCUUGUGCUUUGCUGAAGGCCUACCUCAGUACUAACGUACGAACUAUGUAGUCCUACCGCUACUCCACAUGCUAGCCAUCUGUCAAGGCUUGAUAGCACGACAAGCGCAGAUGCUCAUGCAACACUUAUGCAACACUACCGCAAGUCCAUACGUACAUGCAACAAUACGCCAAGUCAUGUCUGCGUGUGAACGUGCAACUAGCCACUGGCAGCAACCACUUGCAUGUCUGCUGGGCACAACGUCUCUGACCCACCACCUUGACGCCCGCCGCCACCACAGAUAGCAUGCCAAACUAUGCCACUGGCACCUCCAUCUCUAGCGCCAGACAGCUGGUGUCACGCUGGCUCCUGUAGUUUUGCUUCCACCGGCAGCGCCUGCAUGCACGCGUGCACACACAUAGACACACCCAGUUAAUCGUCUGCCACAAGACGGGUAGGUGCCAAUGCAUGUCAAGGCCAGCCAUGGACAGAGUGCUUGGCAGUGCACGGGGCCUACCACACAAGGCGUGUCUGUGUGCACAUGUGCAUGUGUGUGCGCCCACACGUGUCACGGACACUCACCGUUGAUGAGCACAAUGCUGGAGGUGUAGGGGCAGUCCAGCCAACCGUACGGUCCAUAGGGUACAACAGGGGUUGGGCAGCAAGCUGUCGCGGGGCAGGGUGUGUGCGUGCGGAGGGGGGCGGGGUGGUAUGUGAGACACAAGGCACCGUGGCAAGGGAGCCAUAAAAACACCUUACAGCGAGCGCUGGUAAGGGAGGCAGCAGACAGUCAGUAGUUGUAGGCGGGGGCUCCACCAGACAACCCAACACAGCGCGAGAAGAUGACCAUGCACACUGGCUUGCGAGGUACCACUAGGUUCAACGCAUCCCAUCGACAUUCAACCUGCAGACUAACCUGCGGACUAUGGCGUGCGGGGCGAGGGUGAUGUUGACAGAACGCGAUGUUGAAUGGCGUUGUUGACGCCGGCGACCGAGACUUCUCGGUCGGACAUUUGAAGCGCAGCUGAUAGAUUAUGAGGCAUAGUAGUUUCUCUCACGUAAUAGCUGGCUGCAGCUGACGUGUGAGCAGCGUUGCCAAGCCGGUCAACGAGCAGUCAGCAGCGUGAGGACUCGCGUCCCAAGCCAGCCAAGCAGCGUCGGCCGCCAGCUCUUGUUCUACUGACAUUUGAGCUAGCAUAAAUUUGUGUUACAAAGAGAAGUAGCAAGCGCGAGAGAGCAAAGUGGGGGACAGGAACAGAAGUCCAGCGGCACCGGCAUGAAGUGCAGUGUAUCAGUAUAUGUAUGGUACUAUAUCAGUAUAUGUGUGGUAGUAUCAGGGGCCGCUCUAUGCUGCUUGUUAAGUCAGGCCCGCGAGAACCCCAUGCAGGAACCCUGUUACCCCUCGCGAAGGCCCCGUUACCCCUGGCUUAGGGUCGUUACCACGCCCAAGGGUCCCUGUCACAAUGUCACACAGUCGGCCUACAGCCCCCAGACUUCCUCGUUCGCGAGCGCAAAGACUACAGAAGUUUAAGGCUUCACAUAUUAGACUGUUUUAACACAAACUGUCACUACAUUACACACUUUGCAGACUAGAAUGUCGGCAUGUUCACUUGUCGGCGACAAAAGGCACUCCGCCCAGUCCGCAAUGUGCGUAUGCAUGACAAGUAGCUAAGAGGUGACCACAGCACCACUUGGCUUGCGUCCUGGGCGUGCCAGGCCGUGCGGGCCCGAAACAAUCGUUACCCCCUGUCCGGGGAUCGUCACCCCCGUUUUUUGAUCGUUACCACCAUUUGGGUGCCAUAGGGC